Molecule: long non-coding RNA, 686 nt
Organism: Antechinus flavipes (yellow-footed antechinus)
Lineage: Eukaryota; Metazoa; Chordata; Mammalia; Dasyuromorphia; Dasyuridae
Exons: 3
Source: RefSeq, a predicted model, not a curated record
GGCCCACCAUCAUAUAGGUUUUCCUUAUUUGGUUCUUGGCCAGGGUUCUGGCCUCGGUCCUCUGACUUCAGAUUCAGUGUUCUCUGCUCUUCAACGCUGAGGUGGUUGGGGUAUAGCACCAAAUAAUAAGGUUUAUGUAGGCACCAAAUGUUGGGGUUCGGUCAUGUGAAGAAUUCACAAUGGCCUUUCUUUUUGGCAAAAGAUAGGCUUAUUUAUGAGAAGAGGUUACAGACAAGAGGAAGAGAUGCAUUUGACACCAAGAAUGUUUCCUUCGGAGCCUUCCAAACACCGAGUUAAUUCUAGCUAUGCAUGUGCAAUCCCAAUUUCAACGUGGAGUCCUGGAAAGUAUACUGCCAAGGCAAGUUGAAGAAUUUACCAUCAGUGUGGCAGCUGCCUUUUUGAUUCCAUGUUCGUCCUCAUUGAAGGCAUUUGACAACAUGGCUGAAAACAUCGUGCUAAAAAGCAUGGGAGCAAACACACAGCCUCGUUUCACUCCAUUAGUGACUGGGAAAACUCAAGAGCAUUGCCCAUUGUCCAGAACCCGGCCUGCAUGCCAUCAUGAAAUUGAUGUCCUAUACUGAUGAACUUCUCUGGGCGACUGAAUUUUGACUUAAUUUUCCAUAAUCCUUUGUGACUGAGAGUAUCAAAGGCCUUGGUCAAAUUUAUAAAUCUUAUAUACAAAUCUC